Molecule: ribosomal RNA, 305 nt
Filed under: uncultured bacterium
Lineage: Bacteria
Description: bacterial SSU rRNA
Rfam family: Bacterial small subunit ribosomal RNA
Source: RNAcentral
CCCUAGGGGGGGCAGCAGUGGGGCCUCUUGCCCCCUUGUCUCCCGCCUGCUGCAGCAACGCCGCGUGAGCGAUGAAGGCCUUCGGGUCGUAAAGCUCUGUCCUCAAGGAAGAUAAUGACGGUACUUGAGGAGGAAGCCCCGGCUAACUACGUGCCAGCAGCCGCGGUAAUACGGAGGGGGCUAGCGUUAUCCGGAAUUACUGGGCGUAAAGGGUGCGUAGGUGGUUUCUUAAGUCAGAGGUGAAAGGCUACGGCUCAACCGUAGUAAGCCUUUGAAACUGGGGAACUUGAGUGCAGGAGAGGAGG